This 328-nucleotide unclassified non-coding RNA is filed under the name soil metagenome. RNAcentral's name for it is "partial contains 5.8S ribosomal RNA, internal transcribed spacer 2, and large subunit ribosomal RNA". The stretch from base 1 to 120 matches the Rfam family "5.8S ribosomal RNA", at positions 35 to 154 of the family's 154-position model. The record is from RNAcentral.
GAUGAAGAACGCAGCGAAAUGCGAUAAGUAAUGUGAAUUGCAGAAUUCAGUGAAUCAUCGAAUCUUUGAACGCACAUUGCGCCCCUUGGUAUUCCGAGGGGCAUGCCUGUUCGAGCGUCAUUAUAACCCUCAAGCUCAGCUUGGUGUUGGGGCCAGCUGCACUGGCAGCCCUUAAAAUCAGUGGCGGCGCCAUCUGGCUCUAAGCGUAGUAAUUCUUCUCGCUAUGGAGUCCUGGUGGAUGCUUGCCAUCAACCCCCAAUUUUUCUAUGGUUGACCUCGGAUCAGGUAGGGAUACCCGCUGAACUUAAGCAUAUCAAUAAGCGGAGGA